UCAGGCGUACGAUGGGCCUGGUUAGCGCAUCCCGGUUUGACCGGGAGGGCCGCAGGUUCGAAUCCUGCCGCCUCGA
RNAcentral lists this transfer RNA (76 nucleotides) under Bacteroidota bacterium. RNAcentral's name for it is "Bacteroidetes bacterium tRNA-Gln". The record is from RNAcentral. Lineage: Bacteria; Pseudomonadati; Bacteroidota.